GAUCCUGGCUCAGGAUGAACGCUAGCUACAGGCUUAACACAUGCAAGUCGAGGGGCAGCGGGAAGUCAGCUUGCUGACUUUGCCGGCGACCGGCGCACGGGUGAGUAACACGUAUCCAACCUUCCCGUUACUCUGGAAUAGCCUUUCGAAAGAAAGAUUAAUACCGGAUAGUAUCGAGAGAUUGCAUGAUUACCCGAUUAAAGAUUCAUCGGUAACGGAUGGGGAUGCGGUUCCAUUAGGCAGG
RNAcentral lists this ribosomal RNA (244 nucleotides) under uncultured bacterium. Its description in RNAcentral is "partial 16S ribosomal RNA". It matches the Rfam family "Bacterial small subunit ribosomal RNA", at positions 15 to 249 of the family's 1533-position model. The record is from RNAcentral.